RNAcentral lists this ribosomal RNA (497 nucleotides) under uncultured bacterium. RNAcentral describes it as "partial 16S ribosomal RNA". It matches the Rfam family "Bacterial small subunit ribosomal RNA", at positions 28 to 507 of the family's 1533-position model. The record is from RNAcentral.
GAUGAACGCUGGCGGCGUGCCUAAUACAUGCAAGUCGAGCGAACAGACGAGGAGCUUGCUCCUCUGACGUUAGCGGCGGACGGGUGAGUAACACGUGGAUAACCUACCUAUAAGACUGGGAUAACUUCGGGAAACCGGAGCUAAUACCGGAUAAUAUAUUGAACCGCAUGGUUCAAUAGUGAAAGACGGUUUUGCUGUCACUUAUAGAUGGAUCCGCGCCGCCUUAGCUAGUUGGUAAGGUAACGGCUUACCAAGGCGACGAUGCGUAGCCGACCUGAGAGGGGGAUCGGCCACACUGGAACUGAGACACGGUCCAGACUCCUACGGGAGGCAGCAGUAGGGAAUCUGCCGCAAUGGGCGAAAGCCUGACGGAGCAACGCCGCGGGAGUGAUGAAGGUCUUCGGAUCGUAAAACUCUGUUAUUAGGGAAGAACAAAUGUGUAAGUAACUAUGCACGUCUUGACGGUACCUAAUCAGAAAGCCACGGCUAACUACGUG